CGAACGGGUGAGUAACGCGUGGGUAACCUACCUCUUAGCGGGGGACAACUAUUGGAAACGAUAGCUAAUACCGCAUAACAAUAAUUAACACAUGUUGAUUAUUUGAAAGUACCAAUUGGUACACUAGGAGAUGGACCCGCGUUGUAUUAGCUAGUUGGUAGUGUAAUGGACUACCAAGGCGAUGAUACAUAGCCGACCUGAGAGGGUGAUCGGCCACAUUGGGACUGAGACACGGCCCAAACUCCUACGGAAGGCAGCAG
RNAcentral lists this ribosomal RNA (260 nucleotides) under uncultured bacterium. Its description in RNAcentral is "partial 16S ribosomal RNA". It matches the Rfam family "Bacterial small subunit ribosomal RNA", at positions 99 to 354 of the family's 1533-position model. The record is from RNAcentral.